This 68-nucleotide transfer RNA is filed under the name Chloroflexota bacterium. Its description in RNAcentral is "Chloroflexi bacterium (freshwater metagenome) tRNA-Phe". It matches the Rfam family "tRNA", at positions 15 to 71 of the family's 71-position model. From Rfam's summary of the family: Transfer RNA (tRNA) molecules are approximately 80 nucleotides in length. Their secondary structure includes four short double-helical elements and three loops (D, anti-codon, and T loops). Further hydrogen bonds mediate the characteristic L-shaped molecular structure. tRNAs have two regions of fundamental functional importance: the anti-codon, which is responsible for specific mRNA codon recognition, and the 3' end, to which the tRNAs corresponding amino acid is attached (by aminoacyl-tRNA synthetases). tRNAs cope with the degeneracy of the genetic code in two manners: having more than one tRNA (with a specific anti-codon) for a particular amino acid; and 'wobble' base-pairing, i.e. permitting non-standard base-pairing at the 3rd anti-codon position. The record is from RNAcentral. Lineage: Bacteria; Bacillati; Chloroflexota.
GUCGGCACNNGUAGAGCAUGCGACUGAAAAUCGCAGUGUCGACAGUUCAAUUCUGUCUCUCGGCACCA